RNAcentral lists this ribosomal RNA (501 nucleotides) under uncultured bacterium. RNAcentral describes it as "partial 16S ribosomal RNA". It matches the Rfam family "Bacterial small subunit ribosomal RNA", at positions 28 to 507 of the family's 1533-position model. The record is from RNAcentral.
GACGAACGCUGGCGGCGUGCCUAAUACAUGCAAGUCGGGCGGACCGAACGAGGGCUUGCUCUUGUUUGGUCAGCGGCGGACGGGUGAGUAACACGCGGGCAACCUGCCCGCAAGACCGGGAUAACUCCGGGAAACCGGAGCUAAUACCGGAUAACACCGAAGACCGCAUGGUCUUCGGUUGAAAGGCGGCCUUUGGGCUGUCACUUGCGGAUGGGCCCGCGGCGCAUUAGCUAGUUGGUGAGGUAACGGCUCACCAAGGCGACGAUGCGUAGCCGGCCUGAGAGGGUGACCGGCCACACUGGGACUGAGACACGGCCCAGACUCCUACGGGAGGCAGCAGUAGGGAAUCUUCCGCAAUGGGCGAAAGCCUGACGGAGCGACGCCGCGUGAGCGAAGAAGGCCUUCGGGUCGUAAAGCUCUGUUGUGAGGGACGAAGGAGCGCCGUUCGAAGAGGGCGGCGCAGUGACGGUACCUCACGAGAAAGCCCCGGCUAACUACGUG